This 546-nucleotide ribosomal RNA is filed under the name Triticum aestivum (bread wheat). RNAcentral describes it as "partial small subunit ribosomal RNA". Lineage: Eukaryota; Viridiplantae; Streptophyta; Magnoliopsida; Poales; Poaceae. The record is from RNAcentral.
AUGGAGCUGCAGCGGCGAGCGAUGGCUCAGACCCACCGGUUCCUGCUCCUCUUCCAUGCUGCCGUCCUGGCCGGGCUCGCCUCCGCCUCCGCGUCGCCCUCCGUGUCCGUGUCUGACAGCGUAUUCCAGGCCAGCACCGGAUCGACAUCGACGGGGAGGAGGAGCUUGCUGCAGACCAAGAGGGACUGCCCUAUGAGCUUCGAGACCCAGAACUACACGAUCCUCACAAACAAGUGCAAAGGGCCACAAUACCCUCCUAAUGAAUGUUGUGAAGCUUUCAAGGAAUUUGCAUGCCCAUUUGCCGCGUACAUCAACAACCAGAGCACUAACUGUGCAGACACAAUGUUAACCUACAUCAACGUCCAUGGCUCGUACCCGGCAGCCCUAUUCGCCGACGAGUGCCUCAAAGGCAAGGAAGGGGUUUCUUGCGAAGGCAUCCCAGAGAUAGGCACCGGCGUGCCAAGUGGUGGGCGACGAGCUCAAGGGAGUUCGCCACAUCCUUUGGUCGCUCUCUUGUGUGGAAUAGGAGCAUUGCUGUUCCAUUGA